UACGUAGGUGGCAAGCGUUAUCCGGAUUUAUUGGGUGUAAAGGGCGUGUAGGCGGGAGCGCAAGUCAGAUGUGAAAACUCAGGGCUCAACCCUGAGCCUGCAUUUGAAACUGUGUUUCUUGAGUGCUGGAGAGGCAAUCGGAAUUCCGUGUGUAGCGGUGAGAUGCGUAGAUAUACGGAGGAACACCAGUGGCGAAGGCGGAUUGCUGGACAGUAACUGACGCUGAGGCGCGAAAGCGUGGGGAGCAAACAGG
Molecule: ribosomal RNA, 253 nt
Filed under: uncultured bacterium
Lineage: Bacteria
Description: partial 16S ribosomal RNA
Rfam family: Bacterial small subunit ribosomal RNA
Source: RNAcentral